CUGUUCCCUCUCCAAAGUCCCCUACAUGAGCCCACAGUAUGUUCCUUAUCUACUCAGGCUCCAUCGCUGGUGGUGGUACUUGUUAGGGGCCUGAGAGGAUUAUGAAAAUGUGACUGGCCUAGUGGGGCUGGGGCUGGGUGG
Suncus etruscus (white-toothed pygmy shrew) is the source of this 141-nucleotide non-coding RNA. RefSeq annotates it as small Cajal body-specific RNA 17. NCBI's taxonomy places the organism in Eukaryota, Metazoa, Chordata, Mammalia, Eulipotyphla, Soricidae. The transcript has a single exon. The record is from RefSeq and is a predicted model, not a curated record.